UACGUAGGGGGCAAGCGUUGUCCGGAAUCAUUGGGCGUAAAGCGCGUGUAGGCGGUCCGGUAAGUCCGCUGUGAAAGUCGAGGGCUCAACCCUCGAAUGCCGGUGGAUACUGUCGGGCUUGAGUACGGGAGAGGCGAGUGGAAUUCCUGGUGUAGCGGUGAAAUGCGCAGAUAUCAGGAGGAACACCGAUUGCGAAGGCAGCUCGCUGGAACGUUACUGACGCUGAGACGCGAAAGCGUGGGGAGCGAACAGG
RNAcentral lists this ribosomal RNA (253 nucleotides) under uncultured bacterium. Its description in RNAcentral is "partial 16S ribosomal RNA". It matches the Rfam family "Bacterial small subunit ribosomal RNA", at positions 524 to 776 of the family's 1533-position model. The record is from RNAcentral.